Long non-coding RNA from Lycium barbarum (goji berry), 896 nucleotides. RefSeq lists it as uncharacterized. The transcript is spliced from 2 exons. Lineage: Eukaryota; Viridiplantae; Streptophyta; Magnoliopsida; Solanales; Solanaceae. The record is from RefSeq and is a predicted model, not a curated record.
CCCCGCUUCAGUCAAAACGACCCCUAUUGGGCUCAUUAUCUCUUUGUAUGGCUAGGGUUCAAAACCCUAGCCGCCACCCUACCCCCUCCUCUAUUGCGAUGUCCCAUCGCCAUCUGAGCAUGAACAAGGCUCGGCACGGCGGAAAGGACGGAGCAUUUAUUGUUUCCGUCCUUCUUCAUGCUUUCUCUUCCGUCAAAUUCGUCCAAACACGGCUUUAAAGGCACAAUCCUCCCUCUCAAAUCGUGCCGUUGACCGCAAUGUUUCUUCAUCCCAUUCAUUCAUUCAUUCAUUUAUCCAAGUGAGACUUGUGAGAACAUCACAAGUUCCACAUCAAUGGGAAAGACUUUUAGAGUUUCUUUGGGGUUCUUUAAAUAGAACCCCAACCCUCACCAUAAAGGGAAGGUCCCGGCAACCAGAUAGCUUGAAUUUUGAGAAAAUAACUGAAGUUUAAAGUUUUCAGUAAAUUUUUUAUUUAGGCUUGACUGUGAAGUCGAGUCCUUCUAGUUCAAAAAUUUAUUUACUUUGUUUUUCCUUGUGUGGUUGAGUUCGAGAAUUGGAAGCACAAAGGCUCUGAGUCCUUUCUUGCUCACAUCUGUGAGUAAAAGAGCCUGCCUAUUGGGCCUGAGGCCCAAUAAGAAAAUUCUUUCUCCAAAGAUAUCGAUUCCGCAAAGAUAGAAUUGAGUAGCUUGACGCGCAGAAGGUCCAGCCAUGGAUGAAAAUGGCCAAACUAGGGGCUUGGUACUCCCCUAGUCUCUCUCCAUCCUUUAUUUUGUUUCCAUUUCCUUCAUUUGAGCUCUGUGUGUAUUUGUACAAAACUUGUGAAAAACUCAUAUCACAUAGUGGAAUUCUUAAUGUAUGAACUAGUCGUCUUAGGAUGACAGUACCUAGGCCGUUUA